GAUGAAGAACGCAGCGAAAUGCGAUACUUGGUGUGAAUUGCAGAAUCCCGUGAACCAUCGAGUCUUUGAACGCAAGUUGCGCCCGAAGCCAUUAGGCCGAGGGCACGCCUGCCUGGGCGUCACACGUCGUUGCCCCCCCAUCUACUCCUUCGGGAUUGCGGGGGGCGGAUGAUGGCCUCCCGUGCGCCUCGUCGCGCGGUUGGCAUAAAUGCCAAGUCCUCGGCGACGCACGCCACGACAAUCGGUGGUUGCGAAACCUCGGUUGCCCGUCGUGUGCCGUCGUCGCGCAUCGAGGGCUCGAAAAAAUUGCCGGGCUCCGGCUCGGCUUUCAACGCGACCCCAGGUCAGGCGGGGUUACCCGCUGAAUUUAAGCAUAUCAAUAAGCGGAGGA
This 391-nucleotide unclassified non-coding RNA is filed under the name soil metagenome. RNAcentral describes it as "partial contains 5.8S ribosomal RNA, internal transcribed spacer 2, and large subunit ribosomal RNA". The stretch from base 1 to 122 matches the Rfam family "5.8S ribosomal RNA", at positions 35 to 154 of the family's 154-position model. The record is from RNAcentral.